AGGGAUUUAGCUUAGCGGCAUAAGCGCCUGCCUUGCAAGCAGAGAGUCGUGAAUUCGAUCCCUG
Cavia porcellus (domestic guinea pig) is the source of this 64-nucleotide transfer RNA. It matches the Rfam family "tRNA". From Rfam's summary of the family: Transfer RNA (tRNA) molecules are approximately 80 nucleotides in length. NCBI's taxonomy places the organism in Eukaryota, Metazoa, Chordata, Mammalia, Rodentia, Caviidae. The record is from Rfam.